Molecule: long non-coding RNA, 5128 nt
Filed under: Capsicum annuum
Lineage: Eukaryota; Viridiplantae; Streptophyta; Magnoliopsida; Solanales; Solanaceae
Description: long non-coding RNA (CANN_LNC010673)
Source: RNAcentral
GGAUCUACUCUUGCCGCUUUCUUUGGGAUAAUUGUAAGUAUCACUGCUUGCUUUGUUCUUUUCAAAAAGAGGACACGCGAUUCCAGAAAGUCGGGAGAUUUGUUUGGAUCUCGAACCAAUCUUACCUGGAAUGCUAACUUGGUUCACUUACAAUGAAUUAAAAUAAUAACAGAAGAUUUCAGCAGAAAGCUGGGGGAAGGAGGAUUUUGAUGCUCUAUAUGAAGGAACAAUGAGUAAUGGCAUUAAAAUAGCUGUAAAGAGUCUAGAUGGUCUAGGUCAUGUGAUAACAGUCAUUCCUAACAGAAGUAAAGAUAGUCUGUGGCAUUCACCAUGUCAACCUGGUAAAACUCAUUGGAUUUGUGCUGAAAAAAAAAAACAAAGGCUUUUGAUCUAUGAACACAUGGUAAAUGGAUCACUAGAUAAGUGGAUUUAUAAUAAGAAUCAAGAAAAUGGGCUUACAUGGCAUACAAGGCGAAGGAUAAUAACAGAUAUUGCCAAAGGAUUAGCUUAUCUUCAUGACGAAUGCAGCCAGAAGAUAAUUCAUUUGGAUAUCAAACCACAACAUCCUGCUAGAUCAAAAUUUCAAUGAUAAGAUAUCUGAUUUUUGGGAUGUCAAAGCUAAUUGAAACAGACAAAAGAAAAAUUGAACUAGAAUGAGAGGGACAAGAGGAUAUUUAGCCCCUGAAUGGCUGAACUCAGUAAUCACUGAGAAAGUGUACGUGUAUGCAUUUGGUAUUAUGCUCUUGGAAGUUCUCUGUGCGCGGAAAAAUUUAGACUUAUGAAGAUGUCCAUUUGCUAACUGUUUUUGAAAGAAAAGCGGAUCAACAACAACUCAUGGAUAUGGUUGACAAAAACAAUAAGGAAAUGCAGAUGCACAAAGAAGUAGUGACAGAAAUGAUGAGCAUUGAUGCGUGGUGUCUACAGGGCGAUUUCACCAAGAGGACUUCCAUGUCAUUUGUGGUUAAAGCAUUGGAAGGUUUGGUGUCUGUUGAAACCAACUUGUAUUACGAUUUCACUAGACUACCUGAGGUUCAAGCUGGCAACCAACAGAGCGAAGCCACUGACAGUUCAAUAUUGCCUUCAGUAUUACAUCGAGUCUAAUCCACCUAAGUUUUACUAUGCUUCAAGUUCUCCGGAUAGUAUACAUUUCAGUUUUGAUAGUCAAACACUUACCGCUCUGCAAGAAUCUCCUACAUCACCAGCUCAAUUCAUAAAGCUUCAGCUUGAUGGGCAUUUACGGGUAUACCAAUGGGAUGAGAAAGUACUUAGAUUGGAAGUCAUAUCUGAUCUUUCCCUUUCAUAUGGAGGAAACUGUGGGUAUCCAACUGUCUGUGGAAGAGAUGGCAUUUGCACUGGUGACGGGCGAUGUAGUUUCCCGCCAGAGGAAAAUUUCUUCAUGCCAUCAGAUUAGAGGAAAAAGAAAAAAAAAAUGUAGGAUGUUCACAGGUGAUAUCCAUUAACUGCAACUCUUUGCAGAAUCAUAGUUUCAUAUAGCUCAGGAAUACCACAUAUUGGAGCACAGAGGGACAUUAUAGCUUCUUGUUUUGAGGUCGAAACAUGACAUGAGUUACAUCGAGAGCUCAAACCAUUAGGUACAAGCAAGACCUGAAUACAUAAGACAUAGAUAGAUGUCCGUUUAAAUCGAAGUAGGAGGAGCUUGCUUGAAUAGGAUUAGGAAAUGGUUUAUCAUAAUUCUUACUUGAAACUAGACACUACAAGAAACUUCGGAAACUGCUGCAAUCUAUCAUUUCCCCCUUUCAGAAACACUAAUCGUAAUUACUUCUAACUCCCAAAGUCAUCAACUUACAACUAACAUUUUCAUGGGCAUAGACACCCACACUUUUAAGCUCUUAAUACUCCAUCUUCAAUUUCUUAGAAUACUAUUAUUACUCCUUUAAUCACAUAACUUACAACUUAACAUAAGCUCUAAAACUAUAACAAGGCGCGCAUUGCCUACCUAUAUCUCCUCAAUUCAACUAUAAAGAACACCAUACAACAACUUUCCCGACUUCUCCAUAAUACAAGAUUCAAGAACAAAAUCUAGGCACACGUGACACCCGUACACAUCACCUUAUCUAACAACAUACUACCUCAGGGUUCAACUUAUUCUAAUAUACCCACGCUCUUAUCCACUUAAUGAUUCAACAACAAUUCAUCAUUAUAACACUAGUGUCAUGCAUAUAUACAUAUCACAAUUACCACUUAAACUUUUCAUAAAUCAUCAACUUAGGCUUUUUCACAAAUCACAUCAAGCCCACUAAUUCAUUCCCACAAAACAUACAUCAUUAAUCUUAAGUUACUAUUCUUACCAUCACAUUUUACAUCUAAAGUUCAAGCCUAUAGUCUAGCAUCAAUCAUCUACCGCCGAUGAAGCAUGUAACAUAAUAUACUAGUCCAUCAAAUUGGGAAAUCAAUCCAAAAUACUUCAUUUAAUUUAACUACGACCUACAAUCAUUUCCCCUCGAAAACAUUACUACUACACCUCAAAAUCUACUACAUACUUUCUCACAAGCAGUGCUCGUUUACAACUACUAGAGGAAAGACAAUCAAAGGGGUGAGGUCACAUAAUAAGGAUGGUCGAUCUCAAUCUUAUAAUACAACCCAUUUCAAUCUUAUCAACAUAUUCUAAUUUCUCACAUCAUAUUUACUUAGCCAUGUAUAUAUUCUCACUAUCACCAAAUUCUAGAAACACCAAUGAGUCUUUACCCAUAACUUAUUGACUAGUCUACCUUUUUCCAUUCACAACCUAUAAAUCAUUUCUAUAACCACCAUAACUAUCCACUUUGAGCUCCUUCUCUAUUUUCAAUAAAUAAUAAUCAUAUCCAGUCACUUCCUUCACAAACUACCAUACAAUCUACAAAUAUUGCCACACAUUAGUCUAUCACUAUAAAAUGGCAAACCAUCCUCCAAUCAAUGGUUAUACAACUAAAACUAUUUAUUUACACAAAAGUCACCCUCACUCUGACUUCUAGCCUUGUGACUUCAUAUCACCAACUUCUUGACCCAUUUACUACCAAUAGAUCAUGACACUUUUUUAAUUUCUACUACUCGGGUGGAAAUAUAGUUCCGACAUUCUGCUAAACAUCAUUAGCCUUAUGCAUGACAUCCACAACAAGAAUUUUGAAAGAAAACGGAAUAGACUUUGUAUCUUAGGAUGAAAAGCACGAUUUCAUAAGAAUAAAAGCAUACACUCAAAUCAAUACAACCUAAAGACUAAUGGACUCCUCCCAAGUCCUCAUGCUGUCUCAUAACUUUACGGAUGACUCAAUCAGAGAGAACCACAUUGUUGAGGAGCUAGACUCUUAGACUUGUAUCGCCUCGACAGUGAGGCAUGGCCCAUGAAAUUAGAACAAGGAAUGAAUUUAUAUAACUCUCUCAUGGAAAACUCUAUAGCAUGAACUAGAGUAUGAAAGAAUAAGAAACAACUCCUAAAUGCCCGGUAGCCUCCUGAUUAUAAGUGCGGUGCAUGACACACCCAUAAACAAGACUCUACUAGACACGAUUUCGCAGACACCAUGCGACUAUGAACCGUGCUAUGAUACCAAGUUUGUCACGACACGAGUUGGGGCCUUAGCCGCGACGAGCAUCCCGAACCAUGAAGGCCCGGGCGCCCCUUUCUAUCUGACAAUCGUGAACACCAUUCAUAUACAAUAAAGAAAAAUGUGGAAAACUAUUACAACGGAAUCAUGGUCAACUUUUAUUUCAAACUACUCAAUACUGAAAUAAGUUCGUAAAGAUCAACAUCUAACACUUGUCUGCGAAAUUUAUACAUAUAUAACAUAGGAGAGAGAAAGUCAUAAAAUAUUAUGCAUGAAAUAGUUUAAAAUACAUGGGCCUUUCAAAAGAUCUUAAAACAAUCUUGUCAAUGCGAUUUCAUUCUUCGUAUUACUUCUGAGCUAGAUGGUACACCCUACAUUUCUACAAUUCCACGGGCUAUAUGGAAUCCGCCCUUGACUAGGCGGCCAAGCCCCCAAUCCAAGUUUGCCGCAAGGAUUGGGGUGUCAGCAAGGGGGGAACACGCAAGAUCACAAAGCAGGGUAUCAUAAUUCCCAAUCAAGUCAACAUGUCAUGGUAGUGCACAAGAACACAAAGCAGGGUUCCUAACCAUAAAUCCCAAUUUAGGACGACAUGAAAGCAUAGAGUCUUUCAACUCAUACUUUCUUCGAGUAACCAUCUAACUCUCUUUAAGCCCAUUUUUAACCUUUUCUAAACAUGCAACUUUCUGAAUUCAAAAUCUAAAAAUCUGAGUGAAAUCUGAUUUCUAUUCAAUUCUGUGUUUGUCAUGGCAUUGUCUAUUUGGUAUCGUCAUAACAAGACUUGCAAGUUAUGUUUCUGAGCCAUAAAAUAUCAUAUCACAGUUUUCUCUUUCAAAACAUAAAGUUUAGACCACCAUACUUCAAAUAAUUCUAGAAGAUUCAUUUUUCCAAAAAUAUUUAUCAAAUUAUGCAAAGAUCAUUCUUUUCAAUCAUUUCAACAAACAUGUGGUGGUCAUGUAUUCUUGACAAACCAUACAAUUCUUUCAUUAUAUAUAUAUAUAUAUAUAUAUAUNNNNNNNNNNNNNNNNNNNNNNNNNNNNNNNNNNNNNNNNNNNNNNNNNNNNNNNNNNNNNNNNNNNNNNNNNNNNNNNNNNNNNNNNNNNNNNNNNNNNNNNNNNNNNCAAAUAAUCAUGUUCUAAAUUCAAUUAACAACUUAAACACAUACAUACAUAUAUAAGAUUACAAAUCAAUUUAGGGAAAAGGCCUCAAGACCAAAUCAAUAUCAUCAAAAACUUUAAAAGCAUAAAUCUAAUUAUAAAUCAAACAUCCCUUUUUCUAAAUUCAUGAUUUCUAAACCUUUAACAUGAUUAAGAAGAAUUUACCAUGCCCAUGUAGAUAUAGGAAAACCCCACGUACCUUAGAUAGUUUAGUUUGAAAGAUGGAACCCGGAUCUUGAUCCUUUUCUUGGAAUUCUUGAUCUUAGGGAUAGUUCUUAAUCUUUGGGAAAAGGAUUAGGGUUGGAUUUUUGAGAGGAAUUGAUUAGUUUGUGAUGUAUUUUGCCCAAAUACUGAUUUUAUGUCGUGUUGUGGCUGAGGUAAGACGAGGGAAAAGACGAAAAUACCCCUAAGGAAACAAAAAAGGUCGCAACAGUC